This 4022-nucleotide unclassified non-coding RNA is filed under the name Gigantopelta aegis. RNAcentral's name for it is "protein C3orf33 homolog, transcript variant X3". Lineage: Eukaryota; Metazoa; Mollusca; Gastropoda; Neomphalida; Peltospiridae. The record is from RNAcentral.
CCCUACAUCAAGAACAAAUCUAACUUCCAGAAUCAUGUAAAUUUCCGUUUUUAUUAUUUAAAAAACCCCACACCGAUAGAUGUUUAUUCAUUAGGAGCUCUUAAGCAUCACUGACGUCUAAAGGUGCGUAAAAUCACCAUGAAACACAAGCAAUAAAAUUUUCCAAGUCGCCAUGAAGCAAAAUGAAAGUCGGUCACACGCCAAGAACGAUAACUCUCAGCACGGAACAAAUCGAACGGAGUUGACAAGUCGACACUGGAAGGACGAUCUUUUUAACUUUUUUGAUUCGCACAUCCGCGAAUUGCAAUAUGGUUUUUAUGGUCUUGGUAUUUUGGGAUGUGUUCUGAUCUUAAAAUCAACCAGAGCAACUACAAAGUUCACAUCAGUGGGUCAAAUACCUACAAGCUACAUAGAAAAGAAUGUGACGCUACAAGGAAAUGUCCGCUAUGUGACAGACACAGGGUCAUUACUAACUCAACACCAGCCUAUACUACAAACACCCACGUGGCUAUCAUCUCAAAAUGAUGAGGGUUUACUUCCAGUUGAAAUAAUUGGCGUUGCAGUGACACCUGGUGGUCGGAAGUGGCUUAUUGAUAGCAUCAAAGACAGACAUGUAUGGUUCAAACUCCUCCGAUCCUCACCAUCAUCGGUACAGUGUAUUGUGUAUAGGAAACCUGGAUUCUUGCGAAAAGUAAACGUCAAUGAAGAACUGAUAAAAAUGGGUUUUGGUAAAGUUCAUUUUGUUGAAGACCAACCUUUUUCCGACAGUCACCUGCAUGGGCAAGUUCUUGAAAGGUUACUCAAACUGGAAUCGGUUGCGGAAAGGAAAGGUCUUGGCAUGUGGAAAGCAACAAAAGAAAACAAAAUUGAAAAAGUUGCAAUCUUUCAUAAACUGAAAAACUUAAUUUUAUUUCCAGUGAAAUAUUUUAGAAAGCAGUCAUCAGAGAAAAAAGGAUUUUGAUUAGCAGCUAAGACAAUUUUUGUAUUCAGAUAUAUCCCAAUAUGGAUUCCUUGUAUGACAGUACCAUGUAGGUUUCACUAUAUUAUUUACAGCAGCAGCAACAGUAUUUCAAAGGUUAAAUCUAUUGUAAAGUUAAAACCUGACAAAAAGGUUGUACCAAGUGGUAGUCAAAUAUCACGAGAUGACUACAUGUUUGUCUGCUUUCAUUUUCAAUAAAGGCUAAUUGAGUUUUAUAAAAUCUAUUGAAAAUCCUUCAUUAAAAGAAAACCGGACCAAGAGUCAGUAUAAUGUACAUGUAGUACUGGAAACAUUCCAUUCACAUCAUGUAAGUGGACCCAUUAAAAGAAAACUGGACCAAGAGUCAGUAUAAUGUACAUGUAGGUACUGGAAACAUUCCAUUCACAUCAUGUAAGUGGACCCAUUAAAAGAAAACCGGACCAAGAGUCAGUAUAAUGUACAUGUAGGUACUGGAAACAUUCCAUUCACAUCAUGUAAGUGCACCCAUUAAAAGAAAACCGGACCAAGAGUCAGUAUAGUGUACAUGUAGGUACUGGAAACAUUCCAUUCACAUCAUGUAAGUGCACCCAUUCUCGGAGUGGUUUUUUCCCAUCCAAACCAGUGACCCACGAUUGGUAUAUCAAAGAUCAUGGUAUGUGCUGUCUAGUCUCUGGGAAAUUGCAUAUAAAAGAUCCCAUGUUGCUAAUUAAAAAAUGUAGUGAUGGUCCCUUUUUUUUCUGAUAACGUUUGGAACCUUUAGCUUAGGUAUUUUGUAAAAUUCUUUGCAGCGCUACAUUGGAAUAAUACUUUAGGCAUGCAAAUUAAACAGCGAAAUAGAGUUAAACCAUGUAUAAUAUAGCUCAUAGUUCAUAAUUUUAUUAUAAAGUUAACCCUUAAGGAAGGCUUUUAACAAAAUAAAGAAAAUAUAUGAUACAAGUAUGUAUGUAUGCCCACAUAAAACUGUCAGAUCAAAUGUCGGAAUUUAAUGUGCUUAUAUCAAAUUAAUGUUCAAACACACUCACUGGGGGCACAGACUCUUGACUUCCGCCAGAAAAUGUGUCCCAAAUGAGAAAAGGGGGUAGGGGUAAAAGAAAGCAACUGAAAUUUGGACCAAAAAAAUUAAUGGAUACAUAUUUUGUAAAAUUAAUAGACAAAAACUAAAUUUGUUUAUGUAUAUCCAAAUGUUUUAUUUUUAUUUGUUUAAAUUUGUACGCAAUUUAGACGGCUCACUAAUUUAAAAAUAUUUUGAUCGGACUAUUAAGACAAAUUUUGAACCAGAUCUGAAAUUAGUCAGAGUUUAGAACCUUUUAUUUGCCCAAUGGUGGGUUUAUACAAAAUGAAAAUUUGGCUUACCAUAAAUUCAACUAUAUAUUAAAUUUAUAAUUAAUAAUAAUUAAUCAUCAAAGUUUAUUAAAGUAUAUGUAAGGAGCGGGAAGUAAAGCAAGGUCCACUUAGGCUUUCAUUUUAAUUAAUGUAUGGACCAGCCCCACUCCGCACCCCCACUCCGCACCCCCACUCCGCACCCCAACAUAGACCCACAAAACAUUUAAAUUAUUUACUAAAAUUUCAUAUACCACAAUAAAAAUAAUAAUAUCGAGGAUAUAAUUAUGUAAAGGGCGAAAAACUGGGCAGAGUUUAGUUAAUAUUCUGUUAUCCCAGUACCCGGCCCAGUCACGCACCCCAACACAGCUCCAAGAUAAUUAUAUUUAUAUAUACUAGUUUGUUCUUUUAAUUUAAAUCUUAAAAUGUAAGUGUAUUUGGCUCAGUUCCAAAACUGCGAUGCCUGUUGUGACAAAACCCAUUGUCCAUUGUUCUUCUAUCCAUCUGUCAACUUCUCUUUUGAAGUCUUUUUGACUGGACUGUUCUAAAGCUUGGUACUAUGAUCUGUCAACUUCUCCUUUGAAGUCUUUUUGACUGGACUGUUCUAAAGCUUGGUACUAUGAUCUGUCAACUUCUCCUUUGAAGUCUUUUUGACUGGACUGUUCUAAAGCUUGGUACUAUGAUCUGUCAACUUCUCCUUUGAAGUCUGUUUGACUGGACUGUUUGGAAGCUUGGUACUAUGAUCUGUCAACUUCUCCUUUGAAGUCUAUUUGACUGGACUGUUCUAAAGUUUGGUACUAUGAUCUGUCAACUUCUCCUUUGAAGUCUGUUUGACUGGACUGUUCUAAAGUUUGGUACUAUGAUCUGUCAACUUCUCCUUUGAAGUCUAUUUGACUGGACUGUUCUAAAGCUUGGUAAUAUGAUCCUUUGGGGAACACUUUACAAACUAAUAGCGAUAUAUUGUGAACAGUUUUGAUCUUUUGAAUUUUUAUUUAAAAAAAAAUAAAUGAAAAUGUGAAAGUCUACCUUCUCUUUGAGUUUUGAUUGGAUAGUUCUAAAAUUAUAGUCCAUCCCAUCAUCCUAAAAAAAAAAAAAAAAUCAGUUUGGUUUGACAUAAGAAAAAAGUAAAAGUAUUUUGGAAAUAACAGAAAAAUACAAUUUUUGUGUGCAUUAAUGACCAAACAUUGCUAAUCUGCAAGAGUAGUAAUGAAGCAUUGGAUUUGUUCUGUUAUUCUCAAAAUGAAGUAUUGCAUUGACCUUGUUAGACAUGCCUCUGAUUAAACAAAGGGUCGGGGUGUAGCACAGUGGUAAAGCACACAUCUGAUGCACGGUCGGUCUAGAGUCGAUCCCUUUCGAUGGGUCCAUUGGGCUAUUUUUUUGUUCCAGCCAGUUGUUAAAAACUGGUGUAACAAAGGCCGUGGUAUGUCCUGUCAUGUCAUGGAUGAUGUAUAUAAAAGAUCUGUUGCAGCAAAUCGGAAGUAGUAGUCUAUUUUGUGGUGACAGCAGGUUUCCUCUCUCAUCUAUGUGGUCUGAUGCCAUAUAACUGUAAGUAAUGUGUUAAGUGAUGUUAAAUAAAAUAUUCUUUCAUUCCUUUCUUCUGAUUAAACAUUUAAUUUACAUAGCCUUGUUACAUGGUUGCUUGUCUUAUGAAUUUGAAUGUAUGUAUAUAAGAUUUUAGUUCAGUAUGUGUGUACAGUUUGUAAAUAAGUGUCAUCAGUGAUUAAAAAGUAAAUAAAAAACAGGA